This 253-nucleotide ribosomal RNA is filed under the name uncultured bacterium. RNAcentral's name for it is "partial 16S ribosomal RNA". It matches the Rfam family "Bacterial small subunit ribosomal RNA", at positions 524 to 776 of the family's 1533-position model. The record is from RNAcentral.
GACGUAGGGUGCGAGCGUUGUCCGGAAUUAUUGGGCGUAAAGGGCUCGUAGGCGGUCUGUUGCGUCGGGAGUGAAAACUCAGGACUUAACCCUGAGCCUGCUUCCGAUACGGGCAGACUAGAGGUAUGCAGGGGAGAACGGAAUUCCUGGUGUAGCGGUGAAAUGCGCAGAUAUCAGGAGGAACACCGGUGGCGAAGGCGGAUCUCUGGGCCUUACCUGACGCUGAGGCGCGAAAGCUAGGGGAGCAAACAGG